Molecule: small RNA, 946 nt
Filed under: uncultured Candidatus Liberibacter sp.
Lineage: Bacteria; Pseudomonadati; Pseudomonadota; Alphaproteobacteria; Hyphomicrobiales; Rhizobiaceae
Description: bacterial LSU rRNA
Rfam family: Bacterial large subunit ribosomal RNA (bases 451-946)
Source: RNAcentral
GGUUGAUGGGGUCAUUUGAGUUUAUGUUAAGGGCCCAUAGCUCAGGCGGUUAGAGUGCACCCCUGAUAAGGGUGAGGUCGGUAGUUCGAAUCUACCUGGGCCCACCAUUCAAUCAGGCAAGGGGCCGUAGCUCAGCUGGGAGAGCGCCUGCUUUGCAAGCAGGAUGUCAGCGGUUCGAUCCCGCUCGGCUCCACCAAUUGCGAAUUUAUAGUUUUUUUGUUCUAGGGAUUUUUUUUUAGAGCAAUAGUUUUUUGAAAAUUGAAUAGAAGGUAGAUUUUUUUGUAUUUUUUAUAUUGGCAUUGUAUGCGAUAUAGGAGGUACCGACGUUGUAUAACCGCACGUUGAAGAUUUAUCUCAGGAAAUUGGUCUAUUGAAAGAGCAUAAUUUAUUUAUGUUUUUUUAAUUAAGAAACGUUUGUAAUGAAUUUUAUGACGUAUUGACAAUGAGAGUGAUCAAGCGCGAUAAGGGCAUUUGGUGGAUGCCUUGGCAUGCACAGGCGAUGAAGGACGUAAUACGCUGCGAUAAGCUACGGGGAGCUGCAAAUGAGCAUUGAUCCGUAGAUUUCCGAAUGGGGCAACCCACCUUAGAUGUCUAGGAAAGUAUACUAUUAAGGUUUAAUUUUCUAGGUAUUUGAAGGUAUCUUUACCUGAAUAAAAUAGGGUAAAAGAAGCGAACGCAGGGAACUGAAACAUCUAAGUACCUGUAGGAAAGGACAUCAAUUGAGACUCCGUUAGUAGUGGCGAGCGAACGCGGAUCAGGCCAGUGGUAGGGAAGAUUUAAGUAGAAUUAUCUGGGAAGGUAAGCCAUAGAAGGUGAUAGCCCCGUACACGUAAUAAUUUUUUCUAUCCUUGAGUAGGGCGGGACACGUGAAAUCCUGUUUGAAGAUGGGGCGACCACGCUCCAAGCCUAAGUACUCGUGCAUGACCGAUAGUGAACCAGUACCGUG